UGGGGAAUUGUUCACAAUGGGCGCAAGCCUGAUGACGCAACGCCGCGUGGGGGAUGAAGGUCUUCGGAUUGUAAACCCCUGUCGAAUGGGACGAAUAACCUUUGGGCUAAUCACCAGAGGAAUGACGGUACCGUUAAAGGAAGCCACGGCUAACUCUGUGCCAGCAGCCGCGGUAAUACAGAGGUGGCAAGCGUUGUUCGGAAUCAUUGGGCGUAAAGAGCGUGUAGGCGGUUCGGUAAGUCGGCUGUGAAAGUCCAGGGCUCAACCCUGGGAUGCCGGUCGAUACUGCCGGACUAGAGUUCGGAAGAGGCGAGUGGAAUUCCCGGUGUAGCGGUGAAAUGCGCAGAUAUCGGGAGGAACACCUAUGGCGAAGGCAGCUCGCUGGGACGUUACUGACGCUGAGACGCGAAAGCGUGGGGAGCAAAC
This 426-nucleotide ribosomal RNA is filed under the name uncultured bacterium. Its description in RNAcentral is "bacterial SSU rRNA". It matches the Rfam family "Bacterial small subunit ribosomal RNA", at positions 355 to 773 of the family's 1533-position model. The record is from RNAcentral.